GCUCAGGUGGUGGAAUGGCAGACACGCUAGAUUCAGGUUCUAGUGCCCUCACGGGCUUAAGGGUUCAAGUCCCUUCCUGAGCA
Molecule: transfer RNA, 83 nt
Filed under: bacterium
Lineage: Bacteria
Also listed under: 3 other names
Description: tRNA-Leu
Rfam family: tRNA
About the family: Transfer RNA (tRNA) molecules are approximately 80 nucleotides in length.
Source: RNAcentral